RNAcentral lists this ribosomal RNA (494 nucleotides) under uncultured bacterium. RNAcentral's name for it is "bacterial SSU rRNA". It matches the Rfam family "Bacterial small subunit ribosomal RNA", at positions 903 to 1397 of the family's 1533-position model. The record is from RNAcentral.
AAAGGAAUAGACGGGGGCCCGCACAAGCAGCGGAGCAUGUGGUUUAAUUCGAAGCAACGCGAAGAACCUUACCAGGUCUUGACAUCCGACAAAAGCGGCAGAAAGGCCGUGUCCCUUCGGGGGUGUCGAGACAGGUGGUGCAUGGUUGUCGUCAGCUCGUGUCGUGAGAUGUUGGGUUAAGUCCCGCAACGAGCGCAACCCCUGUUGGCAGUUGCUAACGAGUAAAGUUGAGGACUCUGCCGAGACCGCCGGGGACAACUCGGAGGAAGGUGGGGACGACGUCAAAUCAUCAUGCCCCUUAUGACCUGGGCUACACACGUGCUACAAUGGCCGCAACAGAGAGGAGCGAAGGCGUGAGCUGGAGCAGAUCUCAGAAAAGCGGUCUCAGUUCGGAUUGUGGGCUGCAACCCGCCCACAUGAAGCAGGAGUUGCUAGUAAUCGCGAAUCAGCAUGUCGCGGUGAAUACGUUCCCGGGCCUUGUACACACCGCCCGU